RNAcentral lists this ribosomal RNA (278 nucleotides) under uncultured bacterium. RNAcentral's name for it is "partial 16S ribosomal RNA". It matches the Rfam family "Bacterial small subunit ribosomal RNA", at positions 506 to 784 of the family's 1533-position model. The record is from RNAcentral.
UGCCAGCAGCCGCGGUAAUACGGGAGGGGCAAGCGUUAUCCGAAAUGACUGGGCGUAAAGAGUCCGUAGACUGUACUGUAAGUUAUUUGUUAAAUCCUAAAGCCCAACUUUAGAACAGCAUUUAAUACUACUUUACUUGAGUUUUGUUCGGAAGAGUAGAAUUCCACGUUUAGGGAUAAUCCCCGUAGAUAUGUGGAGGAACACCAUUAGCGAAGGCGACUCUUUGGUAAAAACUGAAGUUGAGUGACGAAAGUGUAGGGAGAAAACAGGAUUAGAUA